This 442-nucleotide long non-coding RNA is filed under the name Musa acuminata (dwarf banana). Its description in RNAcentral is "long non-coding RNA (MACU_LNC001877)". Lineage: Eukaryota; Viridiplantae; Streptophyta; Magnoliopsida; Zingiberales; Musaceae. The record is from RNAcentral.
CGUGGCAGGCAGCGUGGGCGACCCACCGGUCUGCUGUCGCUUCAAUGGUGCGAGCACGUGGCUUGGGGCUCGGGAGGGGAAGAUUUCGCCGUCUCCCUCCAGCCAGGAUCCGCGGAUCCUGCUCUUCCUCGACGAGGCCGCUUCCUCCAUGGGGGGCCGAUGCAAUUCUGUGUUCCCUGUGUGGAAUCGGACAUCGGGCCAUAAGAGGGCCGAGAGUGGUCGGCCCGCGGUGGGGCCCGGUGGGCCACCGUUUUUGUCGGCUUGCGACGAGAGGCGGAAGACAACAAGGAAGGCUUUUGGAAUCUUCCUCCUCCGGGCCCACCUACCGAGAGAGGCAUUCAUUGGCUGACCCCAGCGCAGCGGGUCCCACGGCCUACUUUUAACCUGGUCUGAUGUGAUGCCGUCCUCCCAAGCUUCGAUUGCUUUAGGAAUCAAACAAAGG